Loxodonta africana (African savanna elephant) is the source of this 134-nucleotide small nucleolar RNA. Its record names the gene SNORA70. It matches the Rfam family "Small nucleolar RNA SNORA70". From Rfam's summary of the family: snoRNA U70 seems to be exclusive to mammals and is a member of the H/ACA class of snoRNA which contain H (ANANNA) and ACA box motifs. H/ACA box snoRNAs are involved in the conversion of uridines to pseudouridines (5-ribosyluracil) a constituent of structural RNAs (transfer, ribosomal, small nuclear, and small nucleolar). NCBI's taxonomy places the organism in Eukaryota, Metazoa, Chordata, Mammalia, Proboscidea, Elephantidae. The record is from Ensembl.
CUGCAGCCAAUUAAACCAACCAUCCUCCUUCCCUGUGGGGGCCGGUGUGCAAUGGCUUGCCAACAGCACCCUCCACAGUAAUGUGCACAGCCUGUUGCACAUAUGAGUUGCCCUAAGGGAUCUUGGAGACAGUC